GGAGAGGUGGCAGAGUGGUCGAAUGCACCGGUCUUGAAAACCGGCGUACCGAGAGGUACCGGGGGUUCGAAUCCCUCCCUCUCCG
RNAcentral lists this transfer RNA (85 nucleotides) under Cryomorphaceae bacterium. It matches the Rfam family "tRNA". Rfam says of the family: Transfer RNA (tRNA) molecules are approximately 80 nucleotides in length. The record is from Rfam by way of RNAcentral. Lineage: Bacteria; Pseudomonadati; Bacteroidota; Flavobacteriia; Flavobacteriales; Cryomorphaceae.